RNAcentral lists this ribosomal RNA (648 nucleotides) under Triticum aestivum (bread wheat). RNAcentral describes it as "partial small subunit ribosomal RNA". The record is from RNAcentral. Lineage: Eukaryota; Viridiplantae; Streptophyta; Magnoliopsida; Poales; Poaceae.
AUGCUCCCUAAGUCUAAGGGGGGCAUGGGGUUUAGAGACACGCGAACCUUCAACCAGGCUCUGUUAGCAAAGCAAGCCUGGCGUCUAUUGGAUAGACCGGAUAGCCUGUGUGCUCGGCUACUGAGGGCUAAAUAUUACCCACGAGGAAAUUUAUUGGACACUGUCUUUUCCACGAACUCGUCUGCGGUCUGGAAAGGGAUUGUUCAUGGCUUAGAGCUUCUGAAAAGAGGUAUUAUAUGGCGAGUCGGGGAUGAUACUUUGAUCAAAACAUGGAGGGAUGCUUGGAUCCCGAGGAGGCAUGACUUCCGGUCUGUCACACCAAAAAGAAAUUGCCGUUUCAAUUGGGUAGCUGACUUUCUGGAUGAUCAUGGUGCGUGGAAUGUUCAGAGACUACGUGAGCAUUUCUGGGAUUUGGAUGUACGUGAGAUUUUGAAGAUCCGCACCUCACCGAGAAACGGCCAGGACUUUCUUGCGUGGUAUCCGGAGAGGAGCGGACAGUUUUCGGUUAAGAGUGCUUACCACCUGGCAACUGAUGGUCAGUUGUCAUUAAGCUUGGGCUCAUCUAGCACUAAUCCGUCGGGCCAGAGACCUAUGUGGCAGCGGAUUUGGAGUGCCCAGGUUCCGCUAAAAAUGAGGAUUAUGGCUUGA